Molecule: ribosomal RNA, 719 nt
Filed under: uncultured bacterium
Lineage: Bacteria
Description: bacterial SSU rRNA
Rfam family: Bacterial small subunit ribosomal RNA
Source: RNAcentral
AGAGUUUGAUCAUGGCUCAGAUUGAACGCUGGCGGCAUGCCUUACACAUGCAAGUCGAACGGUAACGCGGGGCAACCUGGCGACGAGUGGCGAACGGGUGAGUAAUGCAUCGGAACGUGCCCAGUAGUGGGGGAUAGCCCGGCGAAAGCCGGAUUAAUACCGCAUACGACCUACGGGUGAAAGCGGGGGACUCGCAAGAGCCUCGCGCUAUUGGAGCGGCCGAUGUCAGAUUAGGUUGUUGGUGGGGUAAAAGCCUACCAAGCCGACGAUCUGUAGCUGGUCUGAGAGGACGACCAGCCACACUGGGACUGAGACACGGCCCAGACUCCUACGGGAGGCAGCAGUGGGGAAUUUUGGACAAUGGGCGCAAGCCUGAUCCAGCCAUGCCGCGUGCGGGAAGAAGGCCUUCGGGUUGUAAACCGCUUUUGUCAGGGAAGAAACGCUCUGGGCUAAUACCCUGGGGUAAUGACGGUACCUGAAGAAUAAGCACCGGCUAACUACGUGCCAGCAGCCGCGGUAAUACGUAGGGUGCAAGCGUUAAUCGGAAUUACUGGGCGUAAAGCGUGCGCAGGCGGUUAUGCAAGACAGAUGUGAAAUCCCCGGGCUCAACCUGGGAACUGCAUUUGUGACUGCAUAGCUAGAGUACGGUAGAGGGGGAUGGAAUUCCGCGUGUAGCAGUGAAAUGCGUAGAUAUGCGGAGGAACACCGAUGGCGAAGGC